UCUAAGAUGUCUGAAUCGCCAAUCUUGUGUUUCAAAAUUGCAUUCAUUGUAAUUCGCAACUGUAUUUCAAUCUUGUUCUAACUUUCUUCUUUCGUAUUUCGUCCAAACUGAAGAUACUUUUUAACGUUAACAGACUAUAUAAACAGAUUUAAGUUAAGUAAAAUAAUUAUUAUUAGUUGCUAGAGCACGGCAAUAAUAAAGUUCAAGAUGUACCAUUGUAAUUAAAUUUCGGCAAUAAACGCCCAAUAAAAAAAAG
This 256-nucleotide unclassified non-coding RNA is filed under the name Bombus terrestris (buff-tailed bumblebee). Its description in RNAcentral is "misc RNA ENSBTSG00005031881.1". Lineage: Eukaryota; Metazoa; Arthropoda; Insecta; Hymenoptera; Apidae. The record is from RNAcentral.